RNAcentral lists this ribosomal RNA (753 nucleotides) under Levilactobacillus brevis. Its description in RNAcentral is "bacterial SSU rRNA". It matches the Rfam family "Bacterial small subunit ribosomal RNA", at positions 44 to 762 of the family's 1533-position model. Lineage: Bacteria; Bacillati; Bacillota; Bacilli; Lactobacillales; Lactobacillaceae. The record is from RNAcentral.
AUGCCUAAUACAUGCAAGUCGAACGAGCUUCCGUUGAAUGACGUGCUUGCACUGAUUUCAACAAUGAAGCGAGUGGCGAACUGGUGAGUAACACGUGGGGAAUCUGCCCAGAAGCAGGGGAUAACACUUGGAAACAGGUGCUAAUACCGUAUAACAACAAAAUCCGCAUGGAUUUUGUUUGAAAGGUGGCUUCGGCUAUCACUUCUGGAUGAUCCCGCGGCGUAUUAGUUAGUUGGUGAGGUAAAGGCCCACCAAGACGAUGAUACGUAGCCGACCUGAGAGGGUAAUCGGCCACAUUGGGACUGAGACACGGCCCAAACUCCUACGGGAGGCAGCAGUAGGGAAUCUUCCACAAUGGACGAAAGUCUGAUGGAGCAAUGCCGCGUGAGUGAAGAAGGGUUUCGGCUCGUAAAACUCUGUUGUUAAAGAAGAACACCUUUGAGAGUAACUGUUCAAGGGUUGACGGUAUUUAACCAGAAAGCCACGGCUAACUACGUGCCAGCAGCCGCGGUAAUACGUAGGUGGCAAGCGUUGUCCGGAUUUAUUGGGCGUAAAGCGAGCGCAGGCGGUUUUUUAAGUCUGAUGUGAAAGCCUUCGGCUUAACCGGAGAAGUGCAUCGGAAACUGGGAGACUUGAGUGCAGAAGAGGACAGUGGAACUCCAUGUGUAGCGGUGGAAUGCGUAGAUAUAUGGAAGAACACCAGUGGCGAAGGCGGCUGUCUAGUCUGUAACUGACGCUGAGGCUCGAAAGCAU